ACUAUUUUGGCAGAAAAAAUGUAAUGAUUUUAGAAGUCAUAAAUAUAUAUGAUAUAAUAUAUAUAUAGUA
This 70-nucleotide transfer RNA is filed under the name Trogonoptera brookiana. RNAcentral describes it as "trnA-Leu". The record is from RNAcentral. Lineage: Eukaryota; Metazoa; Arthropoda; Insecta; Lepidoptera; Papilionidae.